AGACAGCAGGUGACUCCGUUGCGGGUCCGUCUACAAACCGGCAAAUCCGCGUUACUGUCACCUCCGUUGUACUGCUCCAAUAAGGAUUCAGACCGGGCUGGGUUUCAUUUUGCGAGUUCCGUCUACAAACCGGCAAACCCGCGUUACUGUCACCUCCGUUGUACUGCUCCAAUACAGAUCCAGACCGGGCUGGGUAUUAUUGGGCGGGAACAACAAUCGCAAAGCAGAUUCGGGCCGUAUCCGUGGAAACGAGCGCGCGUCUGGAUUUUUGAAGAGGAUCGAGGUGGCCACAGUUUGAUCUCUCUUACAUCCCCACACGACUUUCCAAGGACUGACAACCGUAUUCUGCUGCUGUGUGAACGUGGCCAAGGUGACGUGCCAUUGACUUGUAUUAGAUGAGGACCACCGUUUCAGCUAAACAUCUUUACUGUUCUACCGAAAAUACUCACAUCUUGAAUGGCAUGAGAGUUUUUCAACAGUAUAUUAAAAUUUGGGAGCUGUAAGGAGCAAACAGUCCUGUGGGCUACUGGUGCAGCGAAUUCUUGGAUUCUUACACCAACCGUUGGUUUCAUCUUGCCUUUGACCAUGGUAGUGGCUGGAAAGAGCGUGUGGAUACCAAAGAGGCAUUAAAUAAGAUGUCUCAUGGAAGUUAAAAGGCAUGUAUAGAGUGGUUUGAAGUUCCUACCCUUCCUGUUUGGUUCUUCAUGUGUGUUAUGGGCCGUUUCUCAAUGUCAAGGAAGGAUCCUCGGAAGCCAGAAUUUCGAGGAUGCUACGUCAUCGAAGUCCGUCAAAAGACUGUUCCAAUGUCGAGGAUCCUCGGAAUUUCAGCCAAGGACUGAGUCCUUCAUUCGAGAAAUAUCCCAUAUACAGGAAAGGAUGCAUAUGUGUAUCCUUUGCGCGCUGAAAUCACCCACAAUCCUAUGCGCACAGCACCGAAAGCACACCUUUCAUUGACGCAAUGAUGUGCACUUGUUAGCCUGUUCCAUUUAACGUGUUCUCUGAAUGCUUAAGAGGAGCCUCGCCUAGCCUCUGAAGGAAGUGACUUGUAAGGACUAGUCCUGCCAAGGAAGUAUUUUUGACCUUGAGAAAUGGCCAUGGAUUCACCAGCCUCCUCACUCACUCUCCCUCAAAGAUCUGCACCACAUGACUUUUAAUCACCGUCACCUGUUCCUAGUCACCUGAUCAUGCUAUAUAAGGACUUUCUUAUUCAUUCGUUCAUUCAUUCAUUCAUUUCCCGUCCAGUCCUGUUAAACGUACCUCUUCUCUGAGUUAUUAUACUGCCUUAACGCUCUUCCUUGUUAUUUGGAUUACUAUCAUUGUCAUUUUGCAUUGUCUUCAUCAUCAUCAUCGCCGUUGUCGUCGUCUAUCUCAGUGGUUCUUAAUGUUAUUCCUGGAGGCCCACUGCCCUGCAUGUUUUGUAAGUCUCUUUUAUCUGGCAGACUCAGUUCAGUUCAUUGAGAUCUCUUCUAAUGAGCUGAUGAUCUGAAUCAGGUGUGUUAAAUAAGGGAGACAUACAAAAUGUGCAGGGCAGUGGGCCUCGAGGAAUAACGUUAAGAACCACUGGUCUAUCUACUGUUGUCUUCAUUAAUGAAAGUGUUCAUCAUUUAUCUGUUACUCUCAAGUAGUGUUACCAUUCAUCAUAUGGACUUGCGUUGUAAAUAUAAACCCUGUUGGUUUUACUUCCACGUCCUCACCCUCUAGCUACCAUUACAAUGUGUUUCCCGUUCAUAAUAUGAACUUUUUUGGGUUUGUUUUUUCCUUUUCCUUUGGCCUCUUUUCUGUUCCAAACAUCACAUUUUGUGAAAUAAAUUCACAAGGUUUAUUUUUGCUUUGAGUUGUUUAUAGGAACUUUGAUAUGUGUUCAGAACUGAUGAAAAUUAAAGAAAAGAUGCACAGUGGUACUGUUUUUGCAUUGUUAUGUGUAUUUGUUUUAAUAUGAUAAAUAAAUAGAAAUGUAUUAA
Molecule: long non-coding RNA, 1961 nt
Organism: Paramisgurnus dabryanus
Lineage: Eukaryota; Metazoa; Chordata; Actinopteri; Cypriniformes; Cobitidae
Source: RefSeq, a predicted model, not a curated record